This is a small nuclear RNA of Suncus etruscus (white-toothed pygmy shrew), 107 nucleotides long. Lineage: Eukaryota; Metazoa; Chordata; Mammalia; Eulipotyphla; Soricidae. The record is from RefSeq and is a predicted model, not a curated record.
CUGCUCGCUUUGGCAGCAUAUAUACUAAGAUUGGAACGAUACAGAAAAGAUUAGCAUGGCCCCUGAACAAGAAUGACAGGGAAAUUCGUGAAGCGAUAUAUAUAUAU